This 100-nucleotide non-coding RNA is filed under the name Palpitomonas bilix. The record is from RNAcentral.
UCACUUCACUACUAAAGAGCCACAUGCUGCAUCUCGAGCAUUUUUCACAUCUGCACUUGCACAAGCUUCACAUUGUCAAGAGGGAAGGAGUUAGCCAAAA